AUUGAACGCUGGCGGCAGGCUUAACACAUGCAAGUCGGACGGUAACAGGGAGGAAGCUUGCUUUCUUUGCUGACGAGUGGCGGACGGGUGAGUAAUGCUUGGGAAUCUGUUUUAUGGAGGGGGAUAACUACGGGAAACUGUAGCUAAUACCGCGUAAUAUCGAGAGAUUAAAGUGUGGGACCGUAAGGCCACAUGCCAUAGAGUGAGCCCAAGUGGGAUUAGGUAGUUGGUGGGGUAAAGGCCUACCAAGCCGUCGAUCUCUAGCUGGUCUGAGAGGAUGACCAGCCACACUGGGACUGAGACACGGCCCAGACUCCUACGGGAGGCAGCAGUGGGGAAUAUUGCACAAUGGGCGCAAGCCUGAUGCAGCCAUGCCGCGUGAAUGAAGAAGGCCUUCGGGUUGUAAAGUUCUUUCGGUGGUGAGGAAGGUUGUAAUGUUAAUAGCAUUAUAAUUUGACGUUAGCCACAGAAGAAGCACCGGCUAACUCCGUGCCAGCAGCCGCGGUAAUACGGAGGGUGCGAGCGUUAAUCGGAAUAACUGGGCGUAAAGGGCACGCAGGCGGAUACUUAAGUGAGGUGUGAAAGCCCUGGGCUUAACCUAGGAAUUGCAUUUCAUACUGGGUAUCUAGAGUAUUUUAGGGAGGGGUAGAAUUCCACGUGUAGCGGUGAAAUGCGUAGAGAUGUGGAGGAAUACCGAAGGCGAAGGCAGCCCCUUGGGGGAAUACUGACGUCAUGUGCGAAAGCGUGGGGAGCAAACAGG
This 760-nucleotide ribosomal RNA is filed under the name uncultured bacterium. RNAcentral's name for it is "bacterial SSU rRNA". It matches the Rfam family "Bacterial small subunit ribosomal RNA", at positions 28 to 776 of the family's 1533-position model. The record is from RNAcentral.